RNAcentral lists this ribosomal RNA (250 nucleotides) under uncultured bacterium. RNAcentral describes it as "partial 16S ribosomal RNA". It matches the Rfam family "Bacterial small subunit ribosomal RNA", at positions 355 to 622 of the family's 1533-position model. The record is from RNAcentral.
UAACGAAUCUUCCGCAAUGGGCGCAAGCCUGACGGAGCAAUGCCGCGUGUAGGAUGAAGCGUCUCUGACGUGUAAACUACUGUCAGGGGUUGGAAACAAUGAUCGACCCCAAAGGAAGUGGCGACUAACUCUGUGCCAGCAGUCGCGGUAAUACAGAGGCCACAAGCGUUAGUCGGAAUCACUGGGCUUAAAGGGUGCGUAGGCGGGUCUGCAAGCGUCUUGUGAAAUACCUCAGCUCAACUGAGGAACA